This 405-nucleotide ribosomal RNA is filed under the name Salmonella enterica. RNAcentral's name for it is "bacterial SSU rRNA". It matches the Rfam family "Bacterial small subunit ribosomal RNA", at positions 46 to 447 of the family's 1533-position model. Lineage: Bacteria; Pseudomonadati; Pseudomonadota; Gammaproteobacteria; Enterobacterales; Enterobacteriaceae. The record is from RNAcentral. RNAcentral also lists the same sequence under 1 other name.
GCCUAACACAUGCAAGUCGAACGGUAACAGGAAGCAGCUUGCUGCUUCGCUGACGAGUGGCGGACGGGUGAGUAAUGUCUGGGAAACUGCCUGAUGGAGGGGGAUAACUACUGGAAACGGUGGCUAAUACCGCAUAACGUCGCAAGACCAAAGAGGGGGACCUUCGGGCCUCUUGCCAUCAGAUGUGCCCAGAUGGGAUUAGCUAGUUGGUGAGGUAACGGCUCACCAAGGCGACGAUCCCUAGCUGGUCUGAGAGGAUGACCAGCCACACUGGAACUGAGACACGGUCCAGACUCCUACGGGAGGCAGCAGUGGGGAAUAUUGCACAAUGGGCGCAAGCCUGAUGCAGCCAUGCCGCGUGUAUGAAGAAGGCCUUCGGGUUGUAAAGUACUUUCAGCGGGGAGG